UACGGAGGGUGCAAGCGUUAUCCGGAUUCACUGGGUUUAAAGGGUGCGUAGGUGGGUUGGUAAGUCAGUGGUGAAAUCCCCGAGCUUAACUUGGGAACUGCCAUUGAUACUAUCAGUCUUGAAUACCGUGGAGGUCGGCGGAAUAUGUCAUGUAGCGGUGAAAUGCUUAGAUAUGACAUAGAACACCAAUUGCGUAGGCAGCUUACUACACGAUCAUUGACGCUGAGGCACGAAAGCGUGGGGAUCAAACAGG
This 253-nucleotide ribosomal RNA is filed under the name uncultured bacterium. Its description in RNAcentral is "partial 16S ribosomal RNA". It matches the Rfam family "Bacterial small subunit ribosomal RNA", at positions 524 to 776 of the family's 1533-position model. The record is from RNAcentral.